This 67-nucleotide transfer RNA is filed under the name Sternochetus mangiferae. RNAcentral describes it as "tRNA-Pro". Lineage: Eukaryota; Metazoa; Arthropoda; Insecta; Coleoptera; Curculionidae. The record is from RNAcentral.
CAGGAAAUAGUUUAAUAUAAAAUUUUAAUUUUGGAGAUUAAAGAUAAGGAGUAAUCUUUUUUCCUGA